Molecule: ribosomal RNA, 229 nt
Filed under: uncultured bacterium
Lineage: Bacteria
Description: partial 16S ribosomal RNA
Rfam family: Bacterial small subunit ribosomal RNA
Source: RNAcentral
UACGUAGGCGGAAGAUUAAGUCAGUGGUGAAACCCCGCAGCUCAACUGUGGAACUGUCAUUGAUACUGGUUUUCUUGAAUUUAGUUGAGGUAGGCGGAAUGUGUAAUGUAGCGGUGAAAUGCUUAGAUAUUACACAGAACACCGAUUGCGAAGGCAGCUUACUAAACUAUGAUUGACGCUGAGGUACGAAAGCGUGGGGAGCGAACAGGAUUAGAUACCCUGGUAGUCC